RNAcentral lists this ribosomal RNA (468 nucleotides) under uncultured bacterium. RNAcentral's name for it is "partial 16S ribosomal RNA". It matches the Rfam family "Bacterial small subunit ribosomal RNA", at positions 28 to 507 of the family's 1533-position model. The record is from RNAcentral.
GACGAACGCUGGCGGCGUGCUUAACACAUGCAAGUCGAACGGAAAGGCGCUGCUUUUGUGGGGUUCUCGAGUGGCGAACGGGUGAGUAACACGUGAGUAACCUGCCCUUGACUUUGGGAUAACUUCAGGAAACUGGGGCUAAUACCGGAUAGGAGCUCCUGCUGCACGGUGGGGGUUGGAAAGUUUCGGCGGUUGGGGAUGGACUCGCGGGUUAUCAGCUUGUUGGUGGGGUAGUGGCUUACCAAGGCUUUGACGGCUAGCCGGCCUGGGAGCGGGACCGGCGACAUUGGGACUAAGGUACGGCCCAGACUGCUACGGGAGGCAGAAGUGGAGAGUAUUGCGCAGUGGGCGGAAGCCAGAUGCGGCAACGCCGCGUGCGGGAUGACGGCCUUCGGGUUGUAAACCGCUUUCGCCUGUGACGAAGCGUGAGUGACGGUAAUGGGUAAAGAAGCACCGGCUAACUACGUG